UGGAUAGCUCAGUUGGUUAGAGUCUAGUGCUGAUAAAGCCAAGGUUGCAGGUUCAGUCCCUGUCUGGGACAG
This is a non-coding RNA of Podarcis lilfordi (Lilford's wall lizard), 72 nucleotides long. NCBI's taxonomy places the organism in Eukaryota, Metazoa, Chordata, Lepidosauria, Squamata, Lacertidae. The record is from the annotation of a GenBank genome assembly.